AUGUACCGUUUACUACGAGAUCUUCAUGCACAAUCCAAUUUACCGUGGGCAGUAAUAGGUGACUUUAACGAGAUUUUGUUCUCGUCGGAGAAGGAGGGCGGGGCCCCACGACCCCACUCCCGCCUCCAAGCAUUCCAAGACGCCUUGUCUGAUUGUUCUCUAGAGGAUUUGGGCUACGAGGGGCGAUUCACAUGGUUCCGUGGGGGACUGCGAGAGAGACUCGACCAAGCAGUAUCAAACGCUGGAUGGCUGCAGCUACACCGCCCUUGGGCGGGUUUAUGCAAUUUGGAGAUGGGCAAGUCAGACCAUCGACCUAUCUGCUUGGAUACUAAACACCUAGCCGGAGUGGCAGAAAGAAGGCCAUCAUACAGGAGGAAUUUUGAAGCCCGCUGGCUCGCGGAGGAGACGGUAGAGGAGGUUGUGAAAACUGCAUGGCGGAAGGCUGCCCAACGCGGUCUUGGACCGGGUACAAGAGCGAAACUAGCAGUUGUCCAUCAUGACAGGCAUGCAUGGGAUCGGAGGGUGCUAAAGGAACCACGGUCCAGACUCAGAGCAUCUCCAACAGUAGCGCGGCGCGCUAAAAACCCAUAUGCAGCGUGCGGAUCGUCUGUUUUAGCGCGGCGCGGUGCGCUUUCUCCAGCAGCCGCUGCAAAUUUUAGCGCGCGCGAGCCGCUCUAG
This 678-nucleotide ribosomal RNA is filed under the name Triticum aestivum (bread wheat). Its description in RNAcentral is "partial small subunit ribosomal RNA". The record is from RNAcentral. Lineage: Eukaryota; Viridiplantae; Streptophyta; Magnoliopsida; Poales; Poaceae.